Long non-coding RNA from Xiphophorus couchianus (Monterrey platyfish), 530 nucleotides. RefSeq lists it as uncharacterized. The transcript is spliced from 4 exons. Lineage: Eukaryota; Metazoa; Chordata; Actinopteri; Cyprinodontiformes; Poeciliidae. The record is from RefSeq and is a predicted model, not a curated record.
UGUAAUAUUUGUUUUGAGAAACCCUGAAAGUAAAAUUAUCCAUCUUAUUUCAAACAAACAGCAAUAGACAUGUCGGUUGAAUUGAAGAUGGAUUUUAUAGAGCAGUACAACAAUCCAGACAGUCCUGAAUCCAAAACCCUUUCAAGAAGUAUCACUGUAUUGCUUGAGCAGCAGUAUCGCAAACUGGAUGGCUUCUUUAGUGUUUCUGUGACAAAAUUCAGGAAAGGAAGUGUUGUUACAGAUUUUACUGUCAAGGUCAAAUCUGGAUCACUUGAUGCGACUGCACUGAAUUCAGUCAAUUCAAAUCUCCCGGCAGCAUUGAUAUCAAUUGCUCCUGUUAUUGGCUCAGUGACUGCAAAGUACUACAGUUCAACUCAACUUGGGUCAGAUGUAAAUAAGUUCAUUUAUACUGGUAAAACCAUGACACUGACAUGUGACCCUACCGAGGCCAAAAUGGGAAACACUAAGAAUCCUGUAUGGAAAUUUAACAAUGUUGUAAUCGGGUCACAUCGGCACAAACCGUUUAUUCU